GACGAACGCUGGCGGCGUGCUUAACACAUGCAAGUCGAACGGAAAGGCCCUGCUUUUGUGGGGUGCUCGAGUGGCGAAAGGGUGAGUAACACGUGAGUAACCUGCCCUUGACUUUGGGAUAACUUCAGGAAACUGGGGCUAAUACCGGAUAGGAGCUCCUGCUGCAUGGUGGGGGUUGGAAAGUUUCGGCGGUUGGGGAUGGACUCGCGGCUUAUCAGCUUGUUGGUGGGGUAGUGGCUUACCAAGGCUUUGACGGGUAGCCGGCCUGAGAGGGUGACCGGCCACAUUGGGACUGAGAGACGGCCCAGACUCCUACGGGAGGCAGCAGUGGGGAAUAUUGCACAAUGGGCGGAAGCCUGAUGCAGCAACGCCGCGUGCGGGAUGACGGCCUUCGGGUUGUAAACCGCUUUCGCCUGUGACGAAGCGUGAGUGACGGUAAUGGGUAAAGAAGCACCGGCUAACUACGUG
This 468-nucleotide ribosomal RNA is filed under the name uncultured bacterium. RNAcentral's name for it is "partial 16S ribosomal RNA". It matches the Rfam family "Bacterial small subunit ribosomal RNA", at positions 28 to 507 of the family's 1533-position model. The record is from RNAcentral.